RNAcentral lists this ribosomal RNA (337 nucleotides) under Chaetoceros curvisetus. Its description in RNAcentral is "partial Eukaryotic large subunit ribosomal RNA". It matches the Rfam family "Eukaryotic large subunit ribosomal RNA", at positions 3009 to 3353 of the family's 3401-position model. The record is from RNAcentral. Lineage: Eukaryota; Bacillariophyta; Thalassiosirophyceae; Chaetocerotales; Chaetocerotaceae.
UAUCGUAAUAGUAAUUGAGGGUAGUACGAGAGGAACUGCUCAUUCAGAUAAUUGGUAUUUGCGCCUGUCCGAUCGGGCAAUGGCGCGAAGCUAUCAUCUGCUGGAUUAUGGCUGAACGCCUCUAAGCCAGAAUCCGUGCUAGAAACGAUGAUGUUGGUCCCGCACAUUUGACUUGAGUUGAAAUAGAGCUUUGCUCGUGAACCAAAUCAGGUGGGCUUGGUCGUCUUUGCGGAAAUGCUUUGGCGGCUUGUCUACGAAUUGUAAUCAUAAUAUGGGCGGGGGUGAAUCCUUUGCAGACGACUUGAAUAGAACGGAGUACUGUAAGUGGUAGAGUAGC